This 259-nucleotide non-coding RNA is filed under the name Viola pubescens. The record is from RNAcentral. Lineage: Eukaryota; Viridiplantae; Streptophyta; Magnoliopsida; Malpighiales; Violaceae.
ACUUGGGGGUGUGGGGCGGGACUAGGUGCGUGGUCCAAACCCUAAACCAUUGAAUUCCUGUACGGGGAUCCCGCAUAAGUGGCGAGUUCUUUUCCCGGAGUUUCCCUCGUUAAAAAGAAACGCCGAUGCAUGCACGUGCCGAGUCUCUGUUGACAACUUUGCCCCUUGAGAGGUUUGUAGGUUGGCCUGCUUAAACACUAGGCUAGUGCUCUUGGCGGUCUUGCCCGUUCCUCGCCUCUCUGCCACCCCCACCCCUUUU